This 627-nucleotide ribosomal RNA is filed under the name Triticum aestivum (bread wheat). RNAcentral's name for it is "partial small subunit ribosomal RNA". Lineage: Eukaryota; Viridiplantae; Streptophyta; Magnoliopsida; Poales; Poaceae. The record is from RNAcentral.
AUGAUUCAUAUUGCUUCGUGUCAUAUAUCUCCAUGUGUUGCCUCUCUCAUGCUAGAUUAUUUGCCAUGUAUUGAGUGCAACAAUUAUUCUCGUCUUGCUCAUAAGAUUUCCCCCAUAGCAUUCUCACAUAUACUUGGAGAUUUUGACGUAUUUCUUGUGAAGCAUGCUUGUCUUACCUCUUUGCACCAAAUACCUAGUGCCAUGAAUAUAGCCAUUCUUGCAUCAUAUUAUUCAUGCGCUUGUGCUUCUAAUGGUUAUGUGCAAGAUAAGAGAACCGUCAUGAUGGAUGAUGUGUUUAUCUACCAUGCGCAUACGCUCUUUGUUUUGUUGUGUGCAUGUGUAGGAUACUUGGACUUCGUGUCGACUUUCACUUCAUGUGAGUUGACCAUUCGAGCUCUUGAGAGCGAGCCUCAUACAUUCGACCAUGACUCGCUUCUACUCCACAUUUCCUACCACUUCGGCAUUGUGAAGAACGCACAAGGACAUGCCUUCGAGGUGAUAUCCUUAUAUUUCGAGAACAUCCAAACUAUGAGCAUGCAUAUUGUGGAUCAUACUACUUGUGUUGCUUCUACCAUGAGACUUCAUUUGUUCACAUAUGCCAUGUCCCAUUGCUUGUCACAUGAUUGA